GUCGGGGUGGCUCAGGCUGGUUAGAGCGCUUGACUCAUAAUCAAGAGGUCGCGGGUUCAAAUCCCGCCCCCGACA
RNAcentral lists this transfer RNA (75 nucleotides) under Thermoplasmata archaeon. Its description in RNAcentral is "tRNA-Met". It matches the Rfam family "tRNA". From Rfam's summary of the family: Transfer RNA (tRNA) molecules are approximately 80 nucleotides in length. Their secondary structure includes four short double-helical elements and three loops (D, anti-codon, and T loops). Lineage: Archaea; Methanobacteriati; Thermoplasmatota; Thermoplasmata. The record is from RNAcentral. RNAcentral also lists the same sequence under 1 other name.